RNAcentral lists this ribosomal RNA (400 nucleotides) under uncultured bacterium. RNAcentral describes it as "partial 16S ribosomal RNA". It matches the Rfam family "Bacterial small subunit ribosomal RNA", at positions 28 to 526 of the family's 1533-position model. The record is from RNAcentral.
GAUGAACGCUGACAGAAUGCUUAACACAUGCAAGUGGUGGCGGACGGGUGAGUAACGCGUAGGUAACUGCCUGGUAGCGGGGGAUAACUAUUGGAAACGAUAGCUAAUACCGCAUACUACCAGAUGGACCUGCGUUGUAUUAGCUAGUUGGUGGGGUAACGGCUCACCAAGGCAACGAUACAUAGCCGACCUGAGAGGGUGAUCGGCCACACUGGGACUGAGACACGGCCCAGACUCCUACGGGAGGCAGCAGUAGGGAAUCUUCGGCAAUGGGGGGAACCCUGACCGAGCAACGCCGCGUGAGUGAAGAAGGUUUUCGGAUCGUAAAGCUCUGUUGUUAAGGAAGCGGUACUUAACCAGAAAGGGACGGCUAACUACGUGCCAGCAGCCGCGGUAAUAC